CUCCCAGACUCCUACGGGAGGCAGCAGUGGGGAAUAUUGCACAAUGGGGGAAACCCUGAUGCAGCGACGCCGCGUGAGCGAUGAAGUAUUUCGGUAUGUAAAGCUCUAUCAGCAGGGAAGAAGAUGACGGUACCUGACUAAGAAGCCCCGGCUAACUACGUGCCAGCAGCCGCGGUAAUACGUAGGGGGCGAGCGUUAUCCGGAUUCACUGGGUGUAAAGGGAGCGUAGACGGCCAUGCAAGCCAGGGGUGAAAGCCCGGGGCCCAACCCCGGGACUGCCCUUGGAACUGUGCGGCUAGAGUGCGGGAGGGGCAGGCGGAAUUCCUGGUGUAGCGGUGAAAUGCGUAGAUAUCAGGAGGAACACCGGCGGCGAAGGCGGCCUGCUGGACUGCAACUGACGUUGAGGCCCGAAAGCGUGGGGAGCAAACAGGAUUAGAUACCCCAGUAC
This 448-nucleotide ribosomal RNA is filed under the name uncultured bacterium. RNAcentral's name for it is "partial 16S ribosomal RNA". It matches the Rfam family "Bacterial small subunit ribosomal RNA", at positions 328 to 793 of the family's 1533-position model. The record is from RNAcentral.